This 116-nucleotide antisense RNA is filed under the name Virgibacillus phasianinus. Its description in RNAcentral is "Virgibacillus sp. LM2416 Listeria sRNA rli30". It matches the Rfam family "Listeria sRNA rli30". Rfam says of the family: Coevolved with internalin gene lmo2445. Paired with CDS partners lmo0501 and lmo0508. Lineage: Bacteria; Bacillati; Bacillota; Bacilli; Caryophanales; Bacillaceae. The record is from Rfam by way of RNAcentral.
UUUACAUAUUCUGCAUAUGCACCCGGAUGCCUGGCGCCAAUCACGGUUAAUUUCUCGCAGCGUGAUAAUUCACCUUUUUUGCAGCUUUCACAUUUUCCGCAAUAAAAGGUUGGACA